UGUAAGCGUAUACCAAAGUUGUUGCAGUUAAAACGCUCGUAGUCGGAAUUUGGCAGUUCCGGAAGUGUGCACGUCGUGUGCGCACUUUGCGGGGACUGCUUUUGUGGUCUUGCGUAGGAUGAGGCACUUUCAUUAGUGAACGUCCUCACGCAACCACUCUUUACUGUGAGAAAAUCAGAGUGAUCAAAGCAGGCAUUUGCCGUGAAUGUAUUAGCAUGGAAUAAUAGAAUAGGACUCGGUUCUAUUUUGUUGGUUUGUUGGGACUGAGUAAUGAUUAAGAGGGACAGUUGGGGGCAUUUGUAUUCCGGCGCUAGAGGUGAAAUUCUUAGAUUGCCGGAAGACAAACUGCUGCGAAAGCGUCUGCCAAGGAUGUUUUCAUUGA
Molecule: ribosomal RNA, 382 nt
Filed under: uncultured eukaryote
Lineage: Eukaryota
Description: partial 18S ribosomal RNA
Rfam family: Eukaryotic small subunit ribosomal RNA
Source: RNAcentral